RNAcentral lists this ribosomal RNA (760 nucleotides) under uncultured bacterium. Its description in RNAcentral is "bacterial SSU rRNA". It matches the Rfam family "Bacterial small subunit ribosomal RNA", at positions 547 to 1311 of the family's 1533-position model. The record is from RNAcentral.
GGAAUUACUGGGCGUAAAGCGUGCGCAGGCGGUUGUGCAAGACCGAUGUGAAAUCCCCGAGCUUAACUUGGGAAUUGCAUUGGUGACUGCACGGCUAGAGUGUGUCAGAGGGGGGUAGAAUUCCACGUGUAGCAGUGAAAUGCGUAGAGAUGUGGAGGAAUACCGAUGGCGAAGGCAGCCCCCUGGGAUAACACUGACGCUCAUGCACGAAAGCGUGGGGAGCAAACAGGAUUAGAUACCCUGGUAGUCCACGCCCUAAACGAUGUCAACUAGUUGUUGGGGAUUCAUUUCCUUAGUAACGUAGCUAACGCGUGAAGUUGACCGCCUGGGGAGUACGGUCGCAAGAUUAAAACUCAAAGGAAUUGACGGGGACCCGCACAAGCGGUGGAUGAUGUGGAUUAAUUCGAUGCAACGCGAAAAACCUUACCUACCCUUGACAUGCCACUAACGAAGCAGAGAUGCAUUAGGUGCUCGAAAGAGAAAGUGGACACAGGUGCUGCAUGGUUGUCGUCAGCUCGUGUCGUGAGAUGUUGGGUUAAGUCCCGCAACGAGCGCAACCCUUGUCUCUAGUUGCUACGAAAGGGCACUCUAGAGAGACUGCCGGUGACAAACCGGAGGAAGGUGGGGAUGACGUCAAGUCCUCAUGGCCCUUAUGGGUAGGGCUUCACACGUCAUACAAUGGUGCAUACAGAGGGUUGCCAAGCCGCGAGGUGGAGCUAAUCCCAGAAAAUGCAUCGUAGUCCGGAUCGUAGUCUGCAAC